Molecule: non-coding RNA, 943 nt
Organism: Cicer arietinum (chickpea)
Lineage: Eukaryota; Viridiplantae; Streptophyta; Magnoliopsida; Fabales; Fabaceae
Source: RefSeq, a predicted model, not a curated record
AACCGUUUCAUUUUCUCUCCAACAUAAACUGCAAGAAAGCCUUUUGGUAUUUCAACAACCUUGAAAGAUGAUGACCUUCUAAUACCAGGAGGUGGGACUUGCAUUAUCUACUAUUUUGACAUUUGAGUAUUUGAUGUUGAAAUUUGAGAAAGUCAUCUAAGGCAACGCCAUGUGAUCUAUUAUACGACCUUGUCUCCCUUGGGUUCUGUGGCUCCCAUGCAUCUCAGUUCUUAUGGCCCUCCUUCACUGACCAUUCAAGUUGCCAACUCUAUUUUACAUAUCCUUACAUCUAUAUAUAUUCAUGGCUGCAAACAUUUAGAAUCAAAACAAAAUCAUUCACAUCCCAAGGCAUUUUAAGUUCAGAAACUUGAGUCUUCUAUACACAAGUCUUUCUUUUUUAGACCAAUCUCUACUUUUCAAACACAUUAAAAAAUGGGUUUUCGUUUACCUAGUAUCAUCAGAAGGGCUGCAAACCAAGCAUCUUCUAAAGGCGUGGAUGUGCCAAAGGGAUAUCUUGCAGUGUAUGUAGGAGAGAAAAUGAAGCGGUUUGUAAUCCCAAUAUCAUAUUUGAAUCAAACUUCAUUCCAGGAAUUGUUGAACCAAGCUGAGGAACAAUUCGGAUAUGAGCAUCCAACGGGUGGUCUCACAAUUCCUUGCAGAGAAGACGUUUUCUUAGAUAUUACUUCUCGUUUGAAUUUUUGCUGAUCUCUUCAGAAGAAGGAGCUGACAUAGAUUAUUUGAGGCAAAUUUGUAUAGGCCGGCACUCACUUAUUUUUUCAUUAUAAUCUAGUUAGUGAGAGAGAAAAACAACUGAGUGAGAUGAUUAUGGACAGAGAGAUUGUGACUAGUUAGGAAAAUUUUCAAUGAUUUUGUACUACAAACUUAUAUGCAGAAUAAUAAUACAAAGAGAUAUAUUUGUCUUGCAUAUGCUCUUCUUGUUUAA